Molecule: small nuclear RNA, 106 nt
Organism: Otolemur garnettii (small-eared galago)
Lineage: Eukaryota; Metazoa; Chordata; Mammalia; Primates; Galagidae
Source: Ensembl
GGACUUGCUUUGGCAGUACAUCUACUGAGAGUGGAAGGAUACAGAGAAGAUGGGCAUGGCAUUGUGCAAGGAUGACUCCCAAACCCAGGCAACUUAGUUAAUAAUA